UACAGAGGGGGCAAGCGUUGUUCGGAAUUACUGGGCGUAAAGGGCGCGUAGGCGGCCUUCUAAGUCGAACGUGAAAUCCCUGGGCUCAACCCAGGAACUGCGUCCGAUACUGGAAGGCUUGAAUCCGGGAGAGGGAUGCGGAAUUCCUAGUGUAGAGGUGAAAUUCGUAGAUAUUAGGAAGAACACCAGUGGCGAAGGCGGCUCACUGGCCCGGUACUGACGCUGAGGCGCGAAAGCGUGGGGAGCAAACAGG
This 253-nucleotide ribosomal RNA is filed under the name uncultured bacterium. Its description in RNAcentral is "partial 16S ribosomal RNA". It matches the Rfam family "Bacterial small subunit ribosomal RNA", at positions 524 to 776 of the family's 1533-position model. The record is from RNAcentral.